UACGGGGGGGGCAAGCGUUGUUCGGAAUUACUGGGCGUAAAGGGCUCGUAGGCGGCCAACUAAGUCAUACGUGAAAUCCCUCGGCUUAACCGGGGAACUGCGUCUGAUACUGGAUGGCUUGAGAUUGGGAGAGGGAUGCGGAAUUCCAGGUGUAGCGGUGAAAUGCGUAGAUAUCUGGAGGAACACCGGUGGCGAAGGCGGCAUCCUGGACCGGUAUUGACGCUGAAACGCGAAAGCUAGGGUAGCAAACGGG
Molecule: ribosomal RNA, 253 nt
Filed under: uncultured bacterium
Lineage: Bacteria
Description: partial 16S ribosomal RNA
Rfam family: Bacterial small subunit ribosomal RNA
Source: RNAcentral